RNAcentral lists this ribosomal RNA (355 nucleotides) under uncultured Desulfovibrio sp. RNAcentral's name for it is "bacterial SSU rRNA". It matches the Rfam family "Bacterial small subunit ribosomal RNA", at positions 1027 to 1382 of the family's 1533-position model. The record is from RNAcentral. Lineage: Bacteria; Pseudomonadati; Thermodesulfobacteriota; Desulfovibrionia; Desulfovibrionales; Desulfovibrionaceae.
UUCCGAGACAGGUGCUGCAUGGCUGUCGUCAGCUCGUGCCGUGAGGUGUUGGGUUAAGUCCCGCAACGAGCGCAACCCUAUUGCCAGUUGCUACCAGGUAAUGCUGGGCACUCUGGUGAGACUGCCCCGGUUAACGGGGAGGAAGGUGGGGACGACGUCAAGUCAUCAUGGCCCUUACGCCUAGGGCUACACACGUACUACAAUGGCGCACACAAAGGGCAGCGAUACCGCGAGGUGGAGCCAAUCCCAAAAAGUGCGUCCCAGUCCGGAUUGCAGUCUGCAACUCGACUGCAUGAAGUUGGAAUCGCUAGUAAUUCGAGAUCAGCAUGCUCGGGCGAAUGCGUUCCCGGGCCUU